This 261-nucleotide ribosomal RNA is filed under the name uncultured archaeon. RNAcentral describes it as "partial 16S ribosomal RNA". It matches the Rfam family "Archaeal small subunit ribosomal RNA", at positions 748 to 1008 of the family's 1478-position model. The record is from RNAcentral.
CAGCCGUAAACAAUGUGCGUUAGGUGUGUCGGUAACCACGCGUUACUGAUGCGCCGAAGAGAAAUCGUGAAACGCACCACCUGAGAAGUACGGUCGCAAGGCUGAAACUUAAAGGAAUUGGCGGGGGAGCACCACAACAGGUGGAGCCUGCGGUUUAAUUGGAUUCAACGCCGGACAUCUCACCGGAUAAGACAGCUGAAUGAUUGUCAAUCUGAAGGUUUUACAUGACUAGCUGAGAGGAGGUGCAUGGCGUCAGUGACU